Molecule: long non-coding RNA, 990 nt
Organism: Eleginops maclovinus (Patagonian blennie)
Lineage: Eukaryota; Metazoa; Chordata; Actinopteri; Perciformes; Eleginopidae
Exons: 5
Source: RefSeq, a predicted model, not a curated record
UCCAACUUUAGGCUUUUUUUGCGCUGCUCUCUGGCAAACACACUGCACACCGUCAAGGAAGGAGGAUCUACUGCUGAGGUUUUCUUAGAGGGAUUUGAACUGCGAGUUUUAGGGUCUGUAAGGUGUGACAUCUUACCUUGUGUUUACACAAUACCGGAUUGUGUACAAAAAUAUUUAAAAGAUGUGGUUGUGGAUUUUGAUUAGCCUUGAGAUCAUCACAAAGGUUUACGGGUAUACAAAUGGUAUAUUCCUAGAGGCGUGUGACUCCAUGUUACCUGUACAUCAAAUUCGACCUGGGAUAUUCAAUAAACCGCAGGAAACUGAACCACCCUUUACGAUCACUUACAAACCUGGCCAAUAUGGAGAACCUAUCACAGUUUUUCUCAAGAGCAAGCAAUCCAAUAAGUUCAUUGGAUUUAUGUUGGAGGCUCGAAAGAGGGGCAUGGAGAACGAUGGCCCUCCUGUUGGGAAAUUCAUCGUGCUUGAGCCUACUCAGACUCGACUCCAGUCAUGCAAUAGAUUACCGAACAACGCUGUUAGUCAAAGGACCAAUUCACAGAAGAGUUUGUUUGCAGUAAACUGGACGGCACAGGGAGAAGACUUAAACUACACUUUAAGAGCCACAUUUCUCGAGUGGUAUGAAACUUUCUGGGAACCAGUGGAUUUAAAGGUCGAUUUACCCCCACCCCCCCCGCCAACAACAACGUCUACGCCAACUACUGCAAUGCCAACAACAACGUCUACGCCAACUACUGCAAUGCCAACUACUACGAUGCCAACUACUACGAUGCCAACUACUACGAUACCAACUACUACGAUGCCAACUACUACGAUACCAACUACUACGAUGCCAACUACUACGAUACCAACUACUACGAUGCUUACUACUACGAUGCCAACUACUACGAUACCAACUACUACGAUGCCAACUACUACGAUGCCAAUUACUACAUUACCAACUACUACGAUGCCAACUACUACGAUACCAAC